Molecule: small RNA, 29 nt
Filed under: Aspergillus fumigatus Af293
Lineage: Eukaryota; Fungi; Ascomycota; Eurotiomycetes; Eurotiales; Aspergillaceae
Description: Aspergillus fumigatus sRNA Afu1g11545
Source: RNAcentral
AUCAUCAGUAGAGGUUUACAUUGACCAUG